This 385-nucleotide ribosomal RNA is filed under the name uncultured bacterium. RNAcentral describes it as "bacterial SSU rRNA". It matches the Rfam family "Bacterial small subunit ribosomal RNA", at positions 29 to 416 of the family's 1533-position model. The record is from RNAcentral.
AUUAAACGCUGGCGGCAUGCCUUACACAUGCAAGUCGAACGGCAGCACGGGGGCAACCCUGGUGGCGAGUGGCGAACGGGUGAGUAAAGCAUCGGAACGUGCCCUGGAGUGGGGGAUAACGUAGCGAAAGUUACGCUAAUACCGCAUAUUCUGUGAGCAGGAAAGCAGGGGAUCGCAAGACCUUGCGCUCUGGGAGCGGCCGAUGUCGGAUUAGCUAGUUGGUGGGUAAAGGCCUACCAAGGCGACGAUCCGUAGCGGGUCUGAGAGGAUGAUCCGCCACACUGGGACUGAGACACGGCCCAGACUCCUACGGGAGGCAGCAGUGGGGAAUUUUGGACAAUGGGCGAAAGCCUGAUCCAGCCAUGCCGCGUGAGUGAAGAAGGCC